CCUACGGGAGGCAGCAGUGGGGAAUAUUGGACAAUGGGGGCAACCCUGAUCCAGCAAUGCCGCGUGUGUGAGGAAGGCCUGAGGGUUGUAAAGCACUUUCAGUGGGGAGGAGGAUACUUAGGUUAAGAGCUAGAGUAUUGGACGUUACCCACAGAAGAAGCACCGGCUAACUCCGUGCCAGCAGCCGCGGUAAUACGGAGGGUGCGAGCGUUAAUCGGAAUUACUGGGCGUAAAGGGUGCGUAGGUGGUUGAUUAAGUUAUCUGUGAAAUCCCCGGGCUCAACCUGGGCAGGUCAGAUAAUACUGAUUGACUCGAGUAUAGGAGAGGGUAGUGGAAUUUCCGGUGUAGCGGUGAAAUGCGUAGAGAUCGGAAGGAACACCAGUGGCGAAGGCGGCUACCUGGCCUAAUACUGACACUGAGGCACGAAAGCGUGGGGAGCAAACAGGAUUAGAUACCCUGGUAGUCCACGCUGUAAACGAUGUCAACUAGCUGUUGGUUAUAUGAAUAUAAUUAGUGGCGCAGCAAACGCGAUAAGUUGACCGCCUGGGGAUACGGUCGCAAGNUUAAAACUCAAAUGAAUUGACCGG
Molecule: ribosomal RNA, 587 nt
Filed under: uncultured bacterium
Lineage: Bacteria
Description: bacterial SSU rRNA
Rfam family: Bacterial small subunit ribosomal RNA
Source: RNAcentral